AUGAUGUUUCAGAAUCUGUCAAGUGUAGGAGUUCUUUGUCAACAACUUGCAAAAACAGGAAAAUCAGUGGAUUAUUAUUUGAUUGACAGGUUAAUUCGACUUGUUCUCACUUUGCCUGUCUCAACCGCAACAACAGAACGUGCAUUUUCGGCAAUGAAAGUUGUUAAAACAAGACUCCGAAAUAAAAUGGAAGACAUGUUUCUAAGAGAUUGCUUGUUGAUCUACAUCGAGAAAGAGAUUGCAGUAGGAUUCUCAACUGAUGCAAUUAUUGAUGAAUUCAAUACAACAGACCGUCGUGUGGACUUCGAGUGA
Molecule: ribosomal RNA, 312 nt
Filed under: Triticum aestivum (bread wheat)
Lineage: Eukaryota; Viridiplantae; Streptophyta; Magnoliopsida; Poales; Poaceae
Description: partial small subunit ribosomal RNA
Source: RNAcentral